RNAcentral lists this ribosomal RNA (503 nucleotides) under uncultured bacterium. RNAcentral describes it as "partial 16S ribosomal RNA". It matches the Rfam family "Bacterial small subunit ribosomal RNA", at positions 30 to 523 of the family's 1533-position model. The record is from RNAcentral.
AUUGAACGCUGGCGGCAGGCUUAACACAUGCAAGUCGAGCGGGGUGAUGGUGCUUGCACUAUCACUUAGCGGCGGACGGGUGAGUAAUGCCUAGGAAUCUGCCUAUUAGUGGGGGACAACAUCUCGAAAGGGAUGCUAAUACCGCAUACGUCCUACGGGAGAAAGCAGGGGAUCACUUGUGACCUUGCGCUAAUAGAUGAGCCUAAGUCGGAUUAGCUAGUUGGUGGGGUAAAGGCCUACCAAGGCGACGAUCUGUAGCGGGUCUGAGAGGAGGAUCCGCCACACUGGGACUGAGACACGGCCCAGACUCCUACGGGAGGCAGCAGUGGGGAAUAUUGGACAAUGGGGGGAACCCUGAUCCAGCCAUGCCGCGCGUGUGAAGAAGGCCUUAUGGUUGUAAAGCACUUUAAGCGAGGAGGAGGCUCUUUUGGUUAAUACCCAAGAUGAGUGGACGUUACUCGCAGAAUAAGCACCGGCUAACUCUGUGCCAGCCGCCGCCGUAA